RNAcentral lists this ribosomal RNA (429 nucleotides) under Acidobacteriota bacterium. RNAcentral describes it as "Acidobacteria bacterium partial 16S ribosomal RNA". It matches the Rfam family "Bacterial small subunit ribosomal RNA", at positions 355 to 776 of the family's 1533-position model. The record is from RNAcentral. Lineage: Bacteria; Pseudomonadati; Acidobacteriota.
UGGGGAAUUUUGGACAAUGGGGGAAACCCUGAUCCAGCCAUCCCGCGUGCGCGAUGAAGGCCUUCGGGUUGUAAAGCACUUUUGGCAGGAAAGAAACGUCAUGGGUUAAUACCCCGUGAAACUGACGGUACCUGCAGAAUAAGCACCGGCUAACUACGUGCCAGCAGCCGCGGUAAUACGUAGGGUGCAAGCGUUAAUCGGAAUUACUGGGCGUAAAGCGUGCGCAGGCGGUUCGGAAAGAAAGAUGUGAAAUCCCAGAGCUCAACUUUGGAACUGCAUUUUUAACUACCGGGCUAGAGUGUGUCAGAGGGAGGUGGAAUUCCGCGUGUAGCAGUGAAAUGCGUAGAUAUGCGGAGGAACACCGAUGGCGAAGGCAGCCUCCUGGGAUAACACUGACGCUCAUGCACGAAAGCGUGGGGAGCAAACAGG